This is a long non-coding RNA of Drosophila nasuta, 511 nucleotides long. RefSeq lists it as uncharacterized. The record is from RefSeq and is a predicted model, not a curated record. NCBI's taxonomy places the organism in Eukaryota, Metazoa, Arthropoda, Insecta, Diptera, Drosophilidae. The transcript has 2 exons.
GCCCCAUGUGUCACACUUGCUAUAAAUUUCAGUUCAUUUUCCGUUUUAACUUCCCAAAAAGACUUUCGAAAUUUGAAAAAGUUUUGCUAUUGAAAAAAGUAAAAAAAAAAAAAAUAAAUAAAAAUUCGUCAAAUAAAAAUAGGGAAAUAUUGAAAACAUAAAUUCUUUGAAAAUUUUAAUAGAUUUGGAAAUGAUUAGAGUAUUUGGCUGUGUAAUGCCCAUUGCGGUGAAUCGAGUGCGCAAUUCAAAGCCAGGUCAAAGUAAUGUGAAAUUCUCAAACAAAGUCAACAGCUCUUGGAUGUAUACCAUUAGAAGAAGGUUACUUAACGAUGGUCUACAGAUAACGGGCUUGAACAGAUGCCAUUAUAAUUAAUUUGGUAGCGAAGCGUUGGGUAAUUUGCUUUUGAUUACUUUUACAUUUGUUAUUCGUAUCUUAAAAUCAAGUGUAAUGCGUGUAAAAGCAAUGGAAAAUGUUUAAAUACAGUACGAAGACGCAAAUUGAGAAUGUCAA